This 31-nucleotide non-coding RNA is filed under the name Prorocentrum micans. The record is from RNAcentral. Lineage: Eukaryota; Dinophyceae; Prorocentrales; Prorocentraceae.
UUAAAAAAAAAAAAAAAAAAAAAAAAAAAAA